GAACGUUGGCGGCGUGGAUUAGGCAUGCAAGUCGUACGCACAGCUUCGGCUGUGAGUGGCGCGAAGGGUGAGUAAUGCGAAGGUAACCAACCCUGGAGUUGGGCAUAACCGCGGGAAACUGCGGGUAAUUCCCAGCGAUGUCUCGAGAUGGCAUCAUCUUGCGACCAAAGGUGUGAUUCCGCUCUAGGACGGGCCUUCGUGGUAUUAGGUAGUUGGUGAGGUAACGGCUCACCAAGCCGACGAUGCCUACCGGGUGUGAGAGCAUGACCCGGCACACUGGAACUGAGACACUGUCCAGACACCUACGGGUGGCUGCAGUCGAGAAUCUUCGGCAAUGGGCGAAAGCCUGACCGAGCGACGCCGCGUGAGGGAAGAAGGCCUUCGGGUUGUAAACCUCUUUCGUAGAGGAGGAAGGGGCCGUGCAGAGCGGUCUUUGACCUAUUCUAGGAAGAAGCUUGGGCUAAGUUCGUG
RNAcentral lists this ribosomal RNA (471 nucleotides) under uncultured bacterium. RNAcentral describes it as "bacterial SSU rRNA". It matches the Rfam family "Bacterial small subunit ribosomal RNA", at positions 31 to 507 of the family's 1533-position model. The record is from RNAcentral.